GAUGAACGCUGGCGGCGUGCUUAACACAUGCAAGUCGAACGGAAAGGCCACAGCUUGCUGUGGUACUCGAGUGGCGAACGGGUGAGUAACACGUGGGUGAUCUGCCCUGUACUUCGGGAUAAGCUUGGGAAACUGGGUCUAAUACCGGAUAGGAAUCACAUGUGGGUGUGUGGUUGGAAAGCUUUUGCGGUAUGGGAUGAGCUCGCGGCCUAUCAGCUUGUUGGUGGGGUAAUGGCCUACCAAGGCGUCGACGGGUAGCCGGCCUGAGAGGGUGUACGGCCACAGUGGGACUGAGAUACGGCCCAGACUCCUACGGGAGGCAGCAGUGGGGAAUAUUGCACAAUGGGCGCAAGCCUGAUGCAGCGACGCCGCGUGGGGGAUGACGGCCUUCGGGUUGUAAACUCCUUUCGUCAGGGACGAAGCGAAAGUGACGGUACCUGGAUAAGAAGCACCGGCUAACUACGUG
Molecule: ribosomal RNA, 466 nt
Filed under: uncultured bacterium
Lineage: Bacteria
Description: partial 16S ribosomal RNA
Rfam family: Bacterial small subunit ribosomal RNA
Source: RNAcentral